Molecule: ribosomal RNA, 502 nt
Filed under: uncultured bacterium
Lineage: Bacteria
Description: partial 16S ribosomal RNA
Rfam family: Bacterial small subunit ribosomal RNA
Source: RNAcentral
AUUGAACGCUGGCGGAAUGCUUUACACAUGCAAGUCGAACGGCAGCACGGGUGCUUGCACCUGGUGGCGAGUGGCGAACGGGUGAGUAAUGUAUCGGAACGUAUCCAAUAAUGGGGGAUAACUAACCGAAAGGUUAGCUAAUACCGCAUACGCCCUACGGGGGAAAGCAGGGGAUCUUCGGACCUUGCGUUAAUGGAGCGGCCGAUAUCUGAUUAGCUAGUUGGUGAGGUAAAGGCUCACCAAGGCUUCGAUCAGUAGCUGGUCUGAGAGGACGACCAGCCACACUGGAACUGAGACACGGUCCAGACUCCUACGGGAGGCGGCAGUGGGGAAUUUUGGACAAUGGGGGCAACCCUGAUUCAGCCAUUCCGCGUGAGUGAAGAAGGCCUUCGGGUUGUAAAGCUCUUUCGCAAGGGAAGAAACGAUACAGUCGAAUAAACUGUGUUAAUGACGGUACCUUGAUAAGAAGCACCGGCUAACUACGUGCCAGCCGCCGCCGUAA